GCAACACCUGGCUAGUUUUCAGGUAACAGGAUAAUCUUUGUACAACAGUGAAGAGCUUCCAGUAAAAGCUGAAGAACUCCAACAUGAAGUAGGAUGAUUUCAAUUUUCUGAUUCUGUUGGAUUGAAACUUUUGAACAUAUUUGACAUUUCACAGACCUAUUCCCUGUUGUGUUUUCGUGUAUUUGUGUUGAUAAUGUGAUAGUCAAUGCUCAUUCUUUGAGCUUUUGCCCUUGCAUUCAUGGAUCAAGGAUGUCAUGCAAUGAUUACUGCUCAAACUGUGAGGGUACUUCAUGUUAGUUGCAUGUUGAUUAUUGUCCUAAGAUAUUGUUUUAAAUUUAAAUUCUAGAACCUCAUAAUUAAGAUAGCUGAUUCUCUUUGGUCAUUAUAGUCAAGAAUUAGGCUCUACUGCUAUAUAUUAUAACAGUAAUAUUCAUGCUUUAGGCAGAUUCCUCCUUGGAGAUGCAAAAUUAUUGUAUUAUUUAUUUAUUUAUUUAUUU
This 497-nucleotide unclassified non-coding RNA is filed under the name Hevea brasiliensis (rubber tree). The record is from RNAcentral. Lineage: Eukaryota; Viridiplantae; Streptophyta; Magnoliopsida; Malpighiales; Euphorbiaceae.